UGGGGAAUAUUGCACAAUGGGCGAAAGCCUGAUGCAGCAACGCCGCGUGAGUGAUGAAGGUCUUCGGAUUGUAAAGCUCUGUCUUUUGGGACGAUAAUGACGGUACCAAAGGAGGAAGCCACGGCUAACUACGUGCCAGCAGCCGCGGUAAUACGUAGGUGGCGAGCGUUGUCCGGAUUUACUGGGCGUAAAGGGUGCGUAGGCGGAUGUUUAAGUGAGAUGUGAAAUACCCGGGCUUAACUUGGGUGCUGCAUUUCAAACUGGAUAUCUAGAGUGCAGGAGAGGAGAAUGGAAUUCCUAGUGUAGCGGUGAAAUGCGUAGAGAUUAGGAAGAACACCAGUGGCGAAGGCGAUUCUCUGGACUGUAACUGACGCUGAGAC
RNAcentral lists this ribosomal RNA (380 nucleotides) under uncultured bacterium. RNAcentral describes it as "partial 16S ribosomal RNA". It matches the Rfam family "Bacterial small subunit ribosomal RNA", at positions 355 to 752 of the family's 1533-position model. The record is from RNAcentral.